AGUUUGAUCCUGGCUCAGGAUGAACGCUGGCGGCGUGCCUAAUACAUGCAAGUCGAACGAAUCUCUUUUAGAGAUGAGUGGCGAACGGGUGAGUAAUACAUAGGUAACCUGCCCCUGUGCGGGGGAUAACAGGAGGAAACUCCUGCUAAUACCGCAUAGCCAUGAGCACCGCAUGGAGCUCAUGCCAAAUAUCCUUUAUGGGAUAGCGCAGGGAUGGACCUAUGGCGCAUUAGCUGGUUGGCGGGGCAACGGCCCACCAAGGCAACGAUGCGUAGCCGGCCUGAGAGGGCGGACGGCCACAUUGGGACUGAGACACGGCCCAGACUCCUACGGGAGGCAGCAGUAGGGAAUUUUCGGCAAUGGGGGAAACCCUGACCGAGCAACGCCGCGUGAGCGAAGAAGGCCUUCGGGUCGUAAAGCUCUGUUGUAAAGGAAGAACGGCGCAUACAGGAAAUGGUAUGCGAGUGACGGUACUUUACCAGAAAGCCACGGCUAACUACGUGCCAGCAGCCGCGGUAAUACGUAGGUGGCGAGCGUUAUCCGGAAUCAUUGGGCGUAAAGAGGGAGCAGGCGGCCGCAAGGGUCUGUGGUGAAAGACCGAAGCUAAACUUCGGUAAGCCAUGGAAACCGGGCGGCUAGAGUGCGGAAGAGGAUCGUGGAAUUCCAUGUGUAGCGGUGAAAUGCGUAGAUAUAUGGAGGAACACCAGUGGCGAAGGCGACGGUCUGGGCCGCAACUGACGCUCAUUCCCGAAAGCGUGGGGAGCAAAUAGGAUUAGAUACCCUAGUAGUCCACGCCGUAAACGAUGGUCACUAAGUGUCGGGGGUCAAACCCCGGUGCUGCAGUCAACGCAAUAAGUGACCCGCCUGAGUAGUACGUUCGCAAGAAUGAAACUCAAAUGAAUUGACG
This 907-nucleotide ribosomal RNA is filed under the name uncultured bacterium. RNAcentral's name for it is "bacterial SSU rRNA". It matches the Rfam family "Bacterial small subunit ribosomal RNA", at positions 10 to 915 of the family's 1533-position model. The record is from RNAcentral.